Molecule: ribosomal RNA, 369 nt
Filed under: uncultured bacterium
Lineage: Bacteria
Description: bacterial SSU rRNA
Rfam family: Bacterial small subunit ribosomal RNA
Source: RNAcentral
GACGAACGCUGGCGGCGUGCUUAACACAUGCAAGUCGAGCGGUAAGGCCUUUCGGGGUACACGAGCGGCGAACGGGUGAGUAACACGUGGGUGACCUGCCUUUAGCUUCGGGAUAAGCCUGGGAAACUGGGUCUAAUACCGGAUAUGACCUCAUGUCGCAUGGUGUGGGGUGGAAAGUUUUUCGGCUAGAGAUGGGCCCGCGGCCUAUCAGCUUGUUGGUGGGGUGAUGGCCUACCAAGGCGACGACGGGUAGCCGGCCUGAGAGGGCGACCGGCCACACUGGGACUGAGAUACGGCCCAGACUCCUACGGGAGGCAGCAGUGGGGAAUAUUGCGCAAUGGGCGGAAGCCUGACGCAGCGACGCCGCGU